GUUUGAAUAGUUUAACUGGAUAAAACACUUCCCUCCGAAGGAAGAAAUUGCAGGUUCAAAUCCUGUUUCAAACACCA
This 77-nucleotide transfer RNA is filed under the name bacterium. RNAcentral's name for it is "tRNA-Arg". It matches the Rfam family "tRNA". Rfam says of the family: Transfer RNA (tRNA) molecules are approximately 80 nucleotides in length. The record is from RNAcentral.